RNAcentral lists this ribosomal RNA (496 nucleotides) under uncultured bacterium. Its description in RNAcentral is "partial 16S ribosomal RNA". It matches the Rfam family "Bacterial small subunit ribosomal RNA", at positions 28 to 506 of the family's 1533-position model. The record is from RNAcentral.
GAUGAACGCUGGCGGCGUGCCUAAUACAUGCAAGUCGAGCGAACAGACGAGGAGCUUGCUCCUCUGACGUUAGCGGCGGACGGGUGAGUAACACGUGGAUAACCUACCUAUAAGACUGGGAUAACUUCGGGAAACCGGAGCUAAUACCGGAUAAUAUAUUGAACCGCAUGGUUCAAUAGUGAAAGACGGUUUUGCUGUCACUUAUAGAUGGAUCCGCGCCGCAUUAGCUAGUUGGUAAGGUAACGGCUUACCAAGGCAACGAUGCGUAGCCGACCUGGGAGGGGGAUCGGCCACACUGGAACUGAGACACGGUCCAGAAUCCUACGGGAGGCAGCAGUAGGGAAUCUUCCGCAAUGGGCGAAAGCCUGACGGAGCAACGCCGCGUGAGUGAUGAAGGUCUUCGGAUCGUAAAACUCUGUUAUUAGGGAAGAACAAAUGUGUAAGUAACUAUGCACGUCUUGACGGUACCUAAGCAGAAAGCCACGGCUAACUACGU